This 1023-nucleotide ribosomal RNA is filed under the name Bacillus sp. LChit9. RNAcentral's name for it is "bacterial SSU rRNA". The stretch from base 8 to 899 matches the Rfam family "Bacterial small subunit ribosomal RNA". The record is from RNAcentral. Lineage: Bacteria; Bacillati; Bacillota; Bacilli; Caryophanales; Bacillaceae.
GGGAAGGUGAGUGGAGAGUGUUCGUGGAGCGUAAGAUGGUAGCUUGCUCCCUGAUGUUUGCGACGGACGGGGGAGAAAUUAUUGGGGGACCUGCCUGUAAGACUGGGAUAACUCCGGGAAACCGGGGCUAAUACCGGAUGCUUGAUUGAACCGCAUGGUUCAAUUAUAAAAGGUGGCUUUUAGCUACCACUUACAGAUGGACCCGCGGCGCAUUAGCUAGUUGGUGAGGUAACGGCUCACCAAGGCAACGAUGCGUAGCCGACCUGAGAGGGUGAUCGGCCACACUGGGACUGAGACACGGCCCAGACUCCUACGGGAGGCAGCAGUAGGGAAUCUUCCGCAAUGGACGAAAGUCUGACGGAGCAACGCCGCGUGAGUGAUGAAGGUUUUCGGAUCGUAAAACUCUGUUGUUAGGGAAGAACAAGUACCGUUCGAAUAGGGCGGUACCUUGACGGUACCUAACCAGAAAGCCACGGCUAACUACGUGCCAGCAGCCGCGCUAAUACGUAGGUGGCAAGCGUUGUCCGGAAUUAUUGGGCGUAAAGCGCGCGCAGGCGGCUUCUUACGUCUGAUGUGAAAGCCUCCGGCUCAGCCGAGGAGGUCAUUAAUAAACUGGGAACUUGAGUGCAGAGAGAGAGUGAAUUCGACGUGUAGCGAUGAGAUGCGUAGAGAUGUGAGCACACUAGUGACGAAGGCGACUCUCUGUCUGUACUGACGCUGAGCGCGAAGCGUGAGAGCGACAGAUAGAUACGUGUAGUCACGCGUAGACGAUGAGUGCUAGUGUAGAGCUCGUCAUCAGUGCUGCAGCAACGCAUAGCACUCGCUGAGUAGUACGUCGCAGACUGAACUCAAGUAUGACGGCUGCACAGCGUGAGCAUGUGAUAUCGAGCACCGAGAUCUACAGUCUGACAUCUCGACAUCUAGGACGCCUCAUCGACAGUGACGGGAGCAUGAUGCGUCAGUCAGUCCGAGUCGAUAGUCGAACAGCUAUCUGACUCACUGCAGAUCAUGUACUGAGUAUGC